GUAUUUCUUAGAGGAAUGUGUCUGUGAGUAAUGCCCAGGGAACCUGGAAAGAAUUUCCAGAUAUAAUUGGCAAAGUGCCCAGACACAAAGAUUUGAUCAAUGGAAUCAGUUCCAGAUCUGCUACAACAAGAACAAUCUGCAGGUUCUCUUCCAAAAGUAACAAUUCUCUCCUUCUUGCAAUUGCAAUUUGGUGUUAAGAAUAAAGGGAAUUAGCAGUGGUGGGACAUGUUGCCUUACCAAAGUUUCAUUCCAUUGCCCUUCUCUGAUAAAAUGUGACACAGUGAGCUGAUCUACUGUUGAUGAACUUAUUACAUGUUUGGGAUGCAGUGUUCUUAUUACAUAUGGUUCUGCUUUGUACAUGUUUGUGAUGCAUUUGUAUGUUUGCCUACUGUUUUCUCCCAUAUUUUAUCAUUCAUAUUUGGGUCUGCUUUGUACAUGUUUGGGAUCAUUUAACUAUUUGCCUACUAUUUUCUCCCAUAUUUAUUUUAUCAUUCAUAUUUUCCUACUGUGACAGUCUUAGAAUACCUGCCCUACUGUUUUCUCCCAGAUUUUAUAGUUUUUGUACAUGUUUAAGGAUCAUUUAACUGUGAAGGGUCUGGGAAGGGGAUGGGAAUUGAACAAUGACUAGUGAGCAUAUGAAAUACAUGAUUCUCUAACUUAUAGUUUAAUUUUGAAUGUGCAGGAAAAUGCUGCUGACUGAAUUUGAUGAAUAGAGGACAGAAGUAAACUCGAUCUAUUGUCGUGAGCGAUAAAGAGUUUUUGUACUAUUAUCAUAAAUGUUGUUUGAAUACAUUUGGUUUUGUGGAAUGUAUUGCUAGUAGAGAUCUUUAAGCAAUUGCUUUCUAUAUGUAUGGGACAUGUUCUCGAAGUUUAUUUAAUUUGAAAUAUAUACUUUCGAAUUAUUUAUAA
This 909-nucleotide long non-coding RNA is filed under the name Solanum tuberosum (potato). Its description in RNAcentral is "long non-coding RNA (STUB_LNC004560)". Lineage: Eukaryota; Viridiplantae; Streptophyta; Magnoliopsida; Solanales; Solanaceae. The record is from RNAcentral.